Molecule: ribosomal RNA, 161 nt
Filed under: Excoecaria cochinchinensis
Lineage: Eukaryota; Viridiplantae; Streptophyta; Magnoliopsida; Malpighiales; Euphorbiaceae
Description: 5.8S ribosomal RNA
Rfam family: 5.8S ribosomal RNA
About the family: 5.8S ribosomal RNA (5.8S rRNA) is a component of the large subunit of the eukaryotic ribosome.
Source: RNAcentral
AAAACGACUCUCGGCAACGGAUAUCUCGGCUCUCGCAUCGAUGAAGAACGCAGCGAAAUGCGAUACUUGGUGUGAAUUGCAGGAUCCCGCGAACCAUCGAGUUUUUGAACGCAAGUUGCGCCCGAAGCCUUUUGGCCGAGGGCACGUCUGCCUGGGUGUCA